UGGCUUUCAGUGUGUGCAGUCUUGAAGUUUUCUUCUUUCUUUUUUUCCAUUUUAUUUUAUUUCAUUUUAUGUUUUUAGAGACAGAGUCUUGCUAUGUUGCCCCAGCUGGUCUCGAACUCCAGGGCUCAAGUGAUCUUCCCACCUCAGCCUCCUGAGUAGCUAGGACUACAGGCAUAUACCAUCAUGCCCAGCAAAGUUAUCUUAAUUCUGUCCUUACUGAUUUCAGAGCCUUCUGGGGCAAUAGCUGAGCUGCCCAUUUUACAGAUCCCAGAAGCAGACACAAGGAGAAGCAUGGGAUGGGAGUAGGGCUCAGCUUUGUGGAGGUGGAAGGGGCACUGCUCUGAGAUUACUCUGCCCACUGGCUUCAGGUGUGUUUAUGAAAUCUCACUGAUGGAGAGAUGCCAGCUAGUGUCUCCUUAGUCUGCCUUAAGAGACCCUCUGUUACUCUGCAGGCAUUAGGCACUUGACCAAUCCACUAAUAAAGUUGUUUUUUUUUGAUCUUCAUCUGGAUCUCAGUGUCAAUUCUCCACUGGUUGGAACCAGCGUGGGAGGAGGGAUGAUCAGAGUUGUUAUCUUUAAUGUAUUUCUUUUUUUCUUUUUCUUUUUUUUUGAGAUGGAGUCUUGCUCUGUAGCCCAGGCUGGAGUACACUGGUGCAAUCUUGGCUCACUGCCACCUCCAUUUCCCGGGUUCAAGCAAUUCUCCUGCCUCAGCCUCCUGAGUAGCUGGGAUUUCAGGUGCCCGCCACCAUGCCCAGCUCAUUUUUGUAUUUUUAGUAGAGAUGGGGUUUCACCCUGUUGGCCAUGCUGGUCUUGAACUCCUGACCUCAAGUGAUCUGCCAACCUCGGCCUCCCAAAGUGCAGGGAUUACAGACAUGAGCCACCACUCCUGGCCCUUUAAUGUAUUUCAAACAACAAAGAGUUGGCAAGCCCAUGUGAAUUCCCAAAAUUAAUUCUUUUUUUCUUUGAGAUGGAGUCUCGCUCUGUCGCCCAGGCUGGAGUGCAGUGGCGCGAUCUUGGCUCACUGCAAGCUCUGCCUCCCGGGUUCACGCCAUUCUCCUGCCUCAGCCUCUUGAGUAGCUGGGACUACAGGCGCCCGCGACCACGUGCAGCUAAUUUUUUGUAUUUUUAGUAGAGACAGGGUUUCACAGCAUUAGCCAGGAUGGUCUCGAUCUCCUGACCUCGUGAUCCACCCGCUUUGGCCUCCCAGAGUGCUGGGAUUACAGGCGUGAGCCACA
Molecule: long non-coding RNA, 1235 nt
Filed under: Homo sapiens (human)
Lineage: Eukaryota; Metazoa; Chordata; Mammalia; Primates; Hominidae
Description: HSALNT0353322
Source: RNAcentral